GCUCUCUCUCUUUUAUGCCAACUGUUUGCUUUUGUAGCUUUUCAAGAUAAUUUUGUAGCUUUAUCAGUAGAAGUGGUGUGUAGUUUUCACUGUACCUUAUAAAGGCAAAAAGUUAAACUGUCCUUUUAAGGAGAUGACUUGAUGGUGUCUAUUAUUUAACAGGUUUAAUUCCAGAAAUGUGAACUUGAACUGCUUAAGGUAAUUGCAAUGUGUAAGAGUAAGUAAAUCCAAAUAAUCACAUUGAUUGCAAGUAGAACAGGAUUGUUUAAUAAGCUAUGUCUAAGGAAAAAGAAAUUCUUUGUCUUCACCCCCAUCUACUUGGUGAAAAUAUUCUGAAACAUUGGAAAUUGUGCCUUGUGAAAGGCACAAAAAUCAUUCUGACUUGGUGUGUUUAAUAUAUAUUUAUGAUAGAUGUGUGAUGGCAUGAUUUUCAUUAGAAGUACACAUUAAUAAAAAUGUUUACAAAAUAUUUUAAAACAAUUACAGUUAUUGCUGCCAUCAACAACUGGUGUUAAUACUAACAGUUGUAAAAGGCCCUGCCUGCUCAUUCGGAAGUGCAUACCUUUACUAUGCCCUUAUGAAACCAAAUCACCUCAACGCCUAUGUUUAUCUUCAGUAUAUUGCUAAAAAGCAUUGCUUGUGUGUGUCAUCAGAACUGGUGUGAUAUGAAGAAACCAAUAUAUCAUACUUGAAGGCAUACCUAUUUGUUCUAAUUGCCACAGGCAAAAGGGGAGGUCCAAGGCUGAAUAAAGAAGGUUAUUGUGACAGAGGGCACUUAAUUCACAAUGAGCACUCUUUUCAUCCAGCCUUGGGAAGCACAGAAUUCCUUCAAAGCUGAUUUUUGUGACAGAAUGUACGAGCUGAUGUUUUGAGUAUAUGAGGGUACAGUGAAAACAGCAAACUCAUUUCUCCUCAGCUCAGGGGUGUUUAUAUUGUGUCUGGUUGGGGAUCGGAUUUUGUUCUACCACAGAAGAUAUUCCAGCCAGAAGAGUGUUGACAGAGAGAAUAGAAGGGAGAGUAGGAAAUAAGAAACUUCAGGAACUAAAAGUUUUUAUUCUAGAUAAUGACAAAUGAUGACUUAAAUGUAUUUCUACAUUCGUUGCCAUGAACAUAAAACAGUUAUAGGUUUCUCAGCAGACACGCAAGCUGCAAAAUUUUUCAGGCCACAACAUUUUUCAUACUGCUGUCUUCUUCCUCCUCCCUCAAACACAUUUUGCCAUAAACUUCUGUACCAAUCAAAAGGAAAGACUCAAAUAGCAAUAGCAAUUCAGGAAGCAAGCUUGUGAAUG
Long non-coding RNA from Jaculus jaculus (lesser Egyptian jerboa), 1289 nucleotides. RefSeq lists it as uncharacterized. NCBI's taxonomy places the organism in Eukaryota, Metazoa, Chordata, Mammalia, Rodentia, Dipodidae. The record is from RefSeq and is a predicted model, not a curated record. The transcript is spliced from 2 exons.